Molecule: unclassified non-coding RNA, 167 nt
Filed under: uncultured Ascomycota
Lineage: Eukaryota; Fungi; Ascomycota
Description: sequence contains ITS1
Source: RNAcentral
CAGAGUUAUCUAACUCCCAAACCCAUGUGAACUUACCUUUUGUUGCCUCGGCAGUGCCUACCCUGUAGCCAGUUACCCUGUAACGGGCUACCCUGUAGCGCCCUGCCGGUGGACCAUUAAACUCUUGUUAUUUUUAAGUAAUCUGAGCGUCUUAUUUUAAUAAGUCA